Molecule: ribosomal RNA, 496 nt
Filed under: uncultured bacterium
Lineage: Bacteria
Description: partial 16S ribosomal RNA
Rfam family: Bacterial small subunit ribosomal RNA
Source: RNAcentral
GACGAACGCUGGCGGCGUGCCUAAUACAUGCAAGUUGAGCGCUGAAGGUUGGUACUUGUACCAACUGGAUGAGCAGCGAACGGGUGAGUAACGCGUGGGGAAUCUGCCUCUGAGCGGGGGACAACAUUUGGAAACGAAUGCUAAUACCGCAUAAAAACUUUAAACACAAGUUUUAAGUUUGAAAGAUGCAAUUGCAUCACUCAAAGAUGAUCCCGCGUUGUAUUAGCUAGUUGGUGAGGUAAAGGCUCACCAAGGCGAUGAUACAUAGCCGACCUGAGAGGGUGAUCGGCCACAUUGGGACUGAGACACGGCCCAAACUCCUACGGGAGGCAGCAGUAGGGAAUCUUCGGCAAUGGACGAAAGUCUGACCGAGCAACGCCGCGUGAGUGAAGAAGGUUUUCGGAUCGUAAAACUCUGUUGGUAGAGAAGAACGUUGGUGAGAGUGGAAAGCUCAUCAAGUGACGGUAACUACCCAGAAAGGGACGGCUAACUACGU